This 495-nucleotide ribosomal RNA is filed under the name uncultured bacterium. RNAcentral's name for it is "partial 16S ribosomal RNA". It matches the Rfam family "Bacterial small subunit ribosomal RNA", at positions 28 to 507 of the family's 1533-position model. The record is from RNAcentral.
GACGAACGCUGGCGGCGUGCCUAAUACAUGCAAGUAGAACGCUGAAGGAGGAGCCUGCUUCUCUGGAUGAGUUGCGAACGGGUGAGUAACGCGUAGGUAACCUGCCUGGUAGCGGGGGAUAACUAUUGGAAACGAUAGCUAAUACCGCAUAAGAGUAGAUGUUGCAUGACAUUUGCUUAAAAGGUGCAAUUGCAUCACUACCAGAUGGACCUGCGUUGUAUUAGCUAGUUGGUGGGGUAACGGCUUACCAAGGCGACGAUACAUAGCCGACCUGAGAGGGUGAUCGGCCACACUGGGACUGAGACACGGCCCAGACUCCUACGGGAGGCAGCAGUAGGGAAUCUUCGGCAAUGGACGGAAGUCUGACCGAGCAACGCCGCGUGAGUGAAGAAGGUUUUCGGAUCGUAAAGCUCUGUUGUAAGAGAAGAACGAGUGUGAGAGUGGAAAGUUCACACUGUGACGGUAUCUUACCAGAAAGGGACGGCUAACUACGUG